AUGGAUGGCGAAAUAUCAGUUUGGGGUCAUUCAAGGGUAGAAGGGAGGACUAUCACUAAUCUUCAUCAUUACCGUACAGAGAUUUAUUAUGUUGCUAUUGAAAAAAUAUAUAUGAAAAUGGAUCACCGUUUUCGUGAAAGAAGUAACAUUAUCCUUGAUUGUUUCUCAUGUCUUGACCCCAAAAAAUCUUUCUCUAAGUUUGAUGUUUGUAAACUUGCUCGUCUUGCUGAUAUUUAUGAUGCAGUUUUUUCUGAUGAUGACCGUUGA
Vicia faba (fava bean) is the source of this 267-nucleotide non-coding RNA. The record is from the annotation of a GenBank genome assembly. NCBI's taxonomy places the organism in Eukaryota, Viridiplantae, Streptophyta, Magnoliopsida, Fabales, Fabaceae.